Molecule: transfer RNA, 86 nt
Filed under: Povalibacter uvarum
Lineage: Bacteria; Pseudomonadati; Pseudomonadota; Gammaproteobacteria; Steroidobacterales; Steroidobacteraceae
Description: tRNA-Leu
Rfam family: tRNA
About the family: Transfer RNA (tRNA) molecules are approximately 80 nucleotides in length.
Source: RNAcentral
GCGCCUGUGGCGAAACUGGAAGACGCGCUGCAUUCAAAAGGCGGUGACCGAAGGUUGUGCCGGUUCGAUUCCGGCCAGGCGCACCA